Papaver somniferum (opium poppy) is the source of this 1372-nucleotide long non-coding RNA. RefSeq lists it as uncharacterized. The transcript has 2 exons. The record is from RefSeq and is a predicted model, not a curated record. Lineage: Eukaryota; Viridiplantae; Streptophyta; Magnoliopsida; Ranunculales; Papaveraceae.
UUUUCAAUUUAGGUGUAAACAGAAUGUUUCACCUGAUUUACUUUAUAAAUUAGGGGUUUGUUUCACCUGAUUAUGUUACUAACUUAGGAUUUACGCUUCGAUUAGAGUUUCAAUGAUUCACAGAUUCACAAUUUUGGGGGUUUGAAGAAAGAUCAAAUCCCAUCAGAGCUUCAGCCUUCCAAUGAGUAAUUUGUUAUCGCUCUCUCUUAUUCAUCUUAAGAAGAAGUUUGUAAUGGAAGUAGCAGUAGACAAAAUCAAACACUCCACAUCAAUUUCAAUCUCCAUCAAGCCUAAAUUGACUGGAUUCAACAUACUCUCCAAAUCAGAGUUCUUCAAGUAAGUGCGAUCUAAUUACCUAUUCAGAAUGGAAUGUCAAUUUUCUUUCGUGCACUUUAGGGUUCCACAAAAAUGAUCCCAAUUUGUAGCUGCAUGUUUGGGUUUAGAAACGGAGCCUGAUGGUAAUUUGGUAUUUAAUUUUCUCCCUAUUCAGAAAAUGUCGAAUCCAAGCAAACUGCAAUGCAAACUCUCUCUUUGAUUUCUUCUAUUUUCGUGGAAUGUAUCGGUGAUUCCUCCUUUUUCUUUUACUUUAUCUCUUUCGAAAUUUUGUUGGUCUCCGAUUGUGUGUCAUGAUUCGAAACCGAUUCCAAAAUCGAAGUUUUGAAUAUGAUAGUUUUUAAUGUUAAAAACGUUAUUGUUUUGAGUGAUAAAAACAUUCAAUUCGUCCUAAUUAGUUCAUUGUUGUAAUUGGAGGAUUUUUUGAAAAUACCAAAAUUGAGUGAUCAUGACAGUAUUCUACCUAUAAUUCUUUCUCUUUUGUGAACUUUAUGUGUUUAUGAAAAUGCCUAAGUUACAAUCUUAUUGUUUAGUUUCAAUUGAAUCCAUGGAUGGCAUAGAAUUGUAUUUUCUGUAUCUAUUUCGAAGAAAGUGAAUCCAUGAUGGAAAAAGAUCAGAAGCGUUCUUGCAAGAGAGAGACAUGACAAGCCAUGGUGACAAACACAAAAUAGCAGCAGUGGAAAAAUUGUGCAGGACGACGAGUUUCCUUUUCAAGCGCAAUGCGGCUCCUAUUAUUAACCUCCGUAGGAGCCCCCUAUUGAUAGAGUAGGCCCAAUAUCAAGAAUCAUUAAAUCUACAUAAGCAAAUGUUGUGCCGUUAUUCAAUUUCUGCAACAAGAGAGACCAAUUGGACUUCUAACUUGGUGUGUCGAGUCACUGAGAAAUACCCUUGAGGAUACUUUUAUUGAUAUUUUUCGCAUUUCCCUUUUGUUACUCUCUUUGUACUUAUAAAUGUAUAUUAUUGAUUAAAAUAUCAUUGAAUGAAGAGUUUGAAUUUAUUUUUUCACGGAAUAGCAGGCACAUAGUGCGUGUCUUUUUCA